Molecule: ribosomal RNA, 253 nt
Filed under: uncultured bacterium
Lineage: Bacteria
Description: partial 16S ribosomal RNA
Rfam family: Bacterial small subunit ribosomal RNA
Source: RNAcentral
UACGUAGGGGGCAAGCGUUGUCCGGAAUCAUUGGGCGUAAAGAGUGCGUAGGCGGCUAGAUAAGUCCGGUGUGAAAGUCACAGGCUCAACCUGUGAAUGCCGCUGGAAACUGUCUGGCUAGAGUCCGGAAGGGGCGAGUGGAAUUCCUGGUGUAGCGGUGAAAUGCGCAGAUAUCAGGAGGAACACCAAUGGCGAAGGCAGCUCGCUGGGACGGUACUGACGCUGAGGCGCGAAAGCGUGGGGAGCAAACAGG